RNAcentral lists this long non-coding RNA (1246 nucleotides) under Equus caballus (horse). Its description in RNAcentral is "lncRNA (ENSECAG00000037207.3)". The record is from RNAcentral. Lineage: Eukaryota; Metazoa; Chordata; Mammalia; Perissodactyla; Equidae.
CAGGAUUCCAUGGUUCAGCACAUAUCCAGCCCAGAGGGCAAAGCCAGCCUCCUCUUUUGACAAGUACUUGUCAUGAAGAGGGAGAAACAACAUGGAGGAGGGGAAAAAUUUUGACACUCAUCUCCUGUGCCUGCAAUUCAUAACUCAAUCUUGUUCAAUUGCUCUCUCUUUUGAAUAGAGUCUGGCAAUAGGGUGAAAUAACCAAGAACUCUACUACACCCCCUCAGAAGAACCAGAGGUAUCAGCUACCAUAUUUGUCUGUAUAUCCAAUAUUCCAGCCUCAACACCUUUCCUUGAAAAUCUAGAGGUCAUCAAUAAAAUGAAAAGCCAUUUCAUUCUAUUGGUGAAAACAGAAGCUUUUCUGCAGCAUAUCAAGAGCUUUGGUGUUGCUGGUAAUCCAUGGCUUUCCUUAAGUUGCAAUGGCAUAACCAACCUCUGCCUCCAUUGUCAUGCUCUCUGCCUGUGUCUUCACAUCCCUUAUAAGGACUCCAGUCAUGUUGGAUUGAGGGCUCAGCCUACUCCAGGAAGACUUCAUCUGAGCUAAUUACAUCUGUAACCACCUUAUUUCCAAAUAAGUCUGGCAAAGCUCUCAACUAGAUUAUACUAUAAAGAAUAUGAAUAGCCAACAAUUACGGAGUACUUAUUAGAAGUCAAGACUCUUCUGAGUAGUUUGCUUGGAUUAUCUCAUGCAAUCUCAAUAUUGGAUUUAGCCAAGGAAUAUCAUCUUGCUUGGUCAUCAGCAUGUAACUGAUGCAUCGAUACUUCUCAGCCAUAUUUAGCUAAUCUCACAUGUUCACACCUACUGAUCUCUAAAGGCCAGCUAGUCGACCAGAACUGAUUCUCAACUUAUCAGUAAUCAUGCAAAGUUUAUAGAGGUGACAUAGCAGAAAUUUGAUACCUAAAGAAGCGAAGUAACUGAGAAGUCUCAGAUAACAAAUGAUAAAGCCAGAAUUUAAACUCGUGUGUUCCUGACAUCAAAACUCCUACUCUUCACUGCAAUGUUCGACUGCCUAUCAAGGAACUCUUUACCUCCACAAGUCAAUAUCCAUCACCUCAUAUAGAUUGCUGCCACAGCAUGGCUGACAAGUAGCGUAGGUCCCUGCCUGGGAUCCAAGCCUGACAACCCCGGCCACUGAAACAGAGUGCAUGGAACUUUAAACACUCGGCCACAGGGCCGGCCCCCAUGUUAUUUUUAUUAAUCUUCCAAAUGUCUUUUUAUUGCUAAUAAAGUGUCUCAAGAGAAAAC